UACGAAGGGGGCUAGCGUUGCUCGGAAUCACUGGGCGUAAAGCGCACGUAGGCGGAUCUUUAAGUCAGGGGUGAAAUCCCGAGGCUCAACCUCGGAACUGCCUUUGAUACUGGGGAUCUCGAGUCCGGGAGAGGUGAGUGGAACUGCGAGUGUAGAGGUGAAAUUCGUAGAUAUUCGCAAGAACACCAGUGGCGAAGGCGGCUCACUGGCCCGGAACUGACGCUGAGACGCGAAAGCGUGGGGAGCGAACAGG
RNAcentral lists this ribosomal RNA (253 nucleotides) under uncultured bacterium. RNAcentral describes it as "partial 16S ribosomal RNA". It matches the Rfam family "Bacterial small subunit ribosomal RNA", at positions 524 to 776 of the family's 1533-position model. The record is from RNAcentral.